UACGUAGGGUGCAAGCGUUAAUCGGAAUUACUGGGCGUAAAGCGUGCGCAGGCGGUUAUGCAAGACAGAUGUGAAAUCCCCGGGCUCAACCUGGGAACUGCAUUUGUGACUGCAUAGCUGGAGUGCGGCAGAGGGGGGAUGGAAUUCCGCGUGUAGCAGUGAAAUGCGUAGAUAUGCGGAGGAACACCGAUGGCGAAGGCAAUCCCCUGGGCCUGCACUGACGCUCAUGCACGAAAGCGUGGGGAGCAAACAGG
RNAcentral lists this ribosomal RNA (254 nucleotides) under uncultured bacterium. RNAcentral's name for it is "partial 16S ribosomal RNA". It matches the Rfam family "Bacterial small subunit ribosomal RNA", at positions 524 to 776 of the family's 1533-position model. The record is from RNAcentral.